Molecule: non-coding RNA, 25 nt
Filed under: Mus musculus (house mouse)
Lineage: Eukaryota; Metazoa; Chordata; Mammalia; Rodentia; Muridae
Source: RNAcentral
UGCCCGAAGUGUCACAGCUCUUAGA